RNAcentral lists this ribosomal RNA (427 nucleotides) under uncultured bacterium. Its description in RNAcentral is "partial 16S ribosomal RNA". It matches the Rfam family "Bacterial small subunit ribosomal RNA", at positions 355 to 774 of the family's 1533-position model. The record is from RNAcentral.
UGGGGAAUAUUGGACAAUGGGCGAAAGCCUGAUCCAGCCAUGCCGCGUGUGUGAAGAAGGUCUUCGGAUUGUAAAGCACUUUAAGUUGGGAGGAAGGGUUGUAGAUUAAUACUCUGCAAUUUUGACGUUACCGACAGAAUAAGCACCGGCUAACUCUGUGCCAGCAGCCGCGGUAAUACAGAGGGUGCAAGCGUUAAUCGGAAUUACUGGGCGUAAAGCGCGCGUAGGUGGUUUGUUAAGUUGGAUGUGAAAUCCCCGGGUUCAACCUGGGAACUGCAUUCAAAACUGACUGACUAGAGUAUGGUAGAGGGUGGUGGAAUUUCCUGUGUAGCGGUGAAAUGCGUAGAUAUAGGAAGGAACACCAGUGGCGAAGGCGACCACCUGGACUAAUACUGACACUGAGGUGCGAAAGCGUGGGGAGCAAACA